Paramuricea clavata is the source of this 64-nucleotide non-coding RNA. Lineage: Eukaryota; Metazoa; Cnidaria; Anthozoa; Malacalcyonacea; Plexauridae. The record is from the annotation of a GenBank genome assembly.
UGCCCGAGGGAGGGAGGGAGGGAAAGUCUUUCCCUCCCUCCCUCCCUCGGGCAGUUUAAGUAAU